AUUCUAGAUUCUCCGUCAAUCUUGAUGAGGCCACCUCAAGGAGUGACAAAAAGGUGCUUUCCAUUUUGGUGAGCUAUUAUAACCCAGAGAGGAAGGCUGUUGAUGUGGAGCACCUUGGGUCAUUUGAAAUGGUGAAGGUCACCGCAGCAAUCCUGGAGAAUGCCCUGGACAGGUUUUUCAAAGACAACAGUAUCCCGUGGUCCAAUUUGGUGAGCAUGAUGAUGGACUCCUGUGCAGUGAUGCGGGGCAGCAAGACGGGCCUGGAAACCAGAGUGCGACACAACCUCUGCCCAGAGCUUCUAGACAUCGACGGGGACUCAUGCCAUCACAUUCAUAAUGCGUCAAAGAGAUUUUCCAGUCCUUUCAACGGUCAUCUAGAGCAGCUCUUCAGUGACCUUCAUGUUGAUCACAAGUGGGCUUCUGACCAGCGGGCUUACCUCCGAGAGAUCUGUAAAUACAUGAGCAUUCCUGGAUCAACUCCAAAGAGAUUCAUCCAGCAUCGUUGGCUGUCAUCUUAUGAUGUUGGAAUCAGCACUCAGACCAUGCUUCCUGCUUACAAGGUCCUGUACUUUGGGUUCAUGGAUAAAGAAGACAAGGCUCUCUACAAAGAACCUUGGGAACAACUUUAUGCUGCUCACCAUGUGAGUGAAAAGGCCCAGAGACACAUUCAGUCUUUUCACAAGGACCUCAGCGGGAAAGGAAUGACACAGCAGGGCAGAGACCGAAAGCAGCGGUUGGUCAAGAAACUGUGGCAUGAAGACACCAAAACAGAGCUCCAUCUCAGUGUCUACACAGGUGUCCUGGCUGUUCUGAAAGAAUACGUCAUGGCAUUCCAGAGUCGUGACACCCUUGUGCACAAGUUGCAUGACAAGCAGCUGCAGGUUUUCACCAACUUCCUGGCAUGCUUUGUGAAGCCAGAACACCUGCCACCAAUCCCCAGGACCCUGGCAGGUCUCGAACUCGAGGGAGACAAACUGCUGCCGGCAAGAGACCUGUAUGUGGGUCGAGUGGAAGAUAGAUUCAGACGGGAGCAUCCUCAACACCAUCUGCUGAAGCCCUUCCUGGACCAAGUACUCCAGGCAUACAUCUCAUGUGGGGUAUACCUGCAGAGCAAGCUGCCACUGGAGAGCAUGACCUUGCAGUGCCUGUCUGCUGUUGACCCUAUUGCAAGGGGGCACUCCAAGACUGGACGUCUGCUUAGACGACUUGCGGAGAUGUUCACCAAGUUCCUCCCUGCUGAUGUGGAUGUUCAGCAAGAGGUUCUCCAGUAUGGCGUAGACCAGAGCCUGCCAACCUUCAGAGAAGGAGAUGAUGCUGUCAGCUGGUGGGCAGCUGUCUUUGAAACGGGAAGGUAUCCAGGGCUCAGCAUGGCAGUAAAGGCAGCAUUGUCGGUGUUCCAUGGGCCAACAGUGGAGUCUUCAUUCAGUCUAAUGUCUGAAAUCAUAGACUCGAAAAGUGGCAGCAUGAACAUUUCCACUCUGAGUGCCAUCAAAACUGUCAAACACACCUUGCUGACCCGGAAGCAGACGGCAGUGGAGAUGUUUAAAAGAGAAGACCUUAAGCAUGGGCCAGUGGACCAAAGGAUGUGCCACAACAUCAUGUCGGCCGGAACCAAGGACAAAGCUCUGAGGAAGCAGGCAACCCUAAAGGAGAUGGAAAGAAGGACGGAGUUUGCCUGCCAGCCAUCCUCAAGUGCUGCCGCAGCAAGAAGAGCCGAGGCAGAAGAGGAGGCGCUGGCCAGAAGGCGGCAUGCGGCCAAACAACGCAAGAGAGCUUGCGAAACACUCGUCAAGGCUAAGCGACAAAAAUAAAAAAUUGUGGCAGUUGUAAAUAAAAUAUAAUUUAUAAGCCUCAAGGAGUUUUUGACAAUGAUUUUUGAGAAAGUAUGCUGAGUUUUGUUAAGUCACGCUCAGACUAGUGUCAUUUGCAUAGUACCAUCAAAAAAAUAUCCCCCUGUGACACUGUCACCUUUUUUCCUCUGAGGAGUUUGCAGGUCUGAUAAUGGGAAUUUUCUU
This is a long non-coding RNA of Gadus morhua (Atlantic cod), 2015 nucleotides long. NCBI's taxonomy places the organism in Eukaryota, Metazoa, Chordata, Actinopteri, Gadiformes, Gadidae. The record is from Ensembl.